AGCAGCCGCGGUAAUUCCAGCUCCAAUAGCGUAUAUUAAAGUUGUUGCAGUUAAAAAGCUCGUAGUUGAAUUUCGGGAUUGACACAUCGGUCGUGCCUUAAGGGGUAUGAACUGGUGUAGUCAAUUUCUCACCUUCUGGAGAACCGCGAUGCCCUUAAUUGGGUGUCACGGGGAACCAGGACCUUUACUUUGAAAAAAUUAGAGUGUUUAAAGCAGGCAUUUUGCUUGAAUACAUUAGCAUGGAAUAAUAAAAUAGGACGGCAUGAUUCUAUUUUGUUGGUUUCUAGGAUCACCGUAAUGAUUAAUAGGGAUAGUUGGGGGCAUUAGUAUUCAAUUGUCAGAGGUGAAAUUCUUGGAUUUAUUGAAGACUAACUACUGCGAAAGCAUUUGCCAAGGAUGUUUUCAUUAAUCAAGAACGAAAGUUAGGGGAUCGAAGACGAUCAGAUACCGUCGUAGUCUUAACCAUAAACUAUGCCGACUAGGAAUCAGACGAUGUUAAUUUUUAAUGACUCGUUUGACA
RNAcentral lists this ribosomal RNA (520 nucleotides) under uncultured Entrophospora. RNAcentral's name for it is "SSU rRNA". It matches the Rfam family "Eukaryotic small subunit ribosomal RNA", at positions 569 to 1085 of the family's 1831-position model. The record is from RNAcentral. Lineage: Eukaryota; Fungi; Glomeromycota; Glomeromycetes; Entrophosporales; Entrophosporaceae.